Cannabis sativa is the source of this 302-nucleotide long non-coding RNA. RefSeq lists it as uncharacterized. The transcript is spliced from 2 exons. NCBI's taxonomy places the organism in Eukaryota, Viridiplantae, Streptophyta, Magnoliopsida, Rosales, Cannabaceae. The record is from RefSeq and is a predicted model, not a curated record.
CCAAAAGGGGUUAACGACAAUGGCUGCACUGAGGAUGCAGUUUCAUGGGCAAUACCCAUUAAAACAUAUGAAGCAACCUGCUCAAUUACAAUUGAAAGAGAAAUUGCAUGUCAUAAAAGGAUGGAGAGGAACGAGGCUUAUUUAUGAUAUGGUGCACAACCUAAAAAUGAAAGGAUCAAGCAGAGUGCAUACCUCUGUUUCUUUCUGAAGUGACACGAGAGAAGUAACAAGAGACUUUGCAUUUGGUCUCUCACGUGCCUCAUAUUGCAAGCAGCGUGAAGCUAAACGCACAAGUUCAGUUC